Molecule: ribosomal RNA, 1345 nt
Filed under: uncultured bacterium
Lineage: Bacteria
Description: partial 16S ribosomal RNA
Rfam family: Bacterial small subunit ribosomal RNA
Source: RNAcentral
GACGAACGCUGGCGGCGUGCUUAACACAUGCUAGUCGAACGGAAAGGCCCUGCUUUUGUGGGGUGCUCGAGUGGCGAACGGGUGAGUAACACGUGAGUAACCUGCCCUUGACUUUGGGAUAACUUCAGGAAACUGGGGCUAAUACCGGAUAGGAGCUCCUGCUGCAUGGUGGGGGUUGGAAAGUUUCGGCGGUUGGGGAUGGACUCGCGGCUUAUCAGCUUGUUGGUGGGGUAGUGGCUUACCAAGGCUUUGACGGGUAGCCGGCCUGAGAGGGUGACCGGCCACAUUGGGACUGAGAUACGGCCCAGACUCCUACGGGAGGCAGCAGUGGGGAAUAUUGCACAAUGGGCGGAAGCCUGAUGCAGCAACGCCGCGUGCGGGAUGACGGCCUUCGGGUUGUAAACCGCUUUCGCCUGUGACGAAGCGUGAGUGACGGUAAUGGGUAAAGAAGCACCGGCUAACUACGUGCAGCAGCCGCGGUGAUACGUAGGGUGCGAGCGUUGUCCGGAUUUAUUGGGCGUAAAGGGCUCGUAGGUGGUUGAUCGCGUCGGAAGUGUAAUCUUGGGGCUUAACCCUGAGCGUGCUUUCGAUACGGGUUGACUUGAGGAAGGUAGGGGAGAAUGGAAUUCCUGGUGGAGCGGUGGAAUGCGCAGAUAUCAGGAGGAACACCAGUGGCGAAGGCGGUUCUCUGGGCCUUUCCUGACGCUGAGGAGCGAAAGCGUGGGGAGCGAACAGGCUUAGAUACCCUGGUAGUCCACGCUGUAAACGGUGGGUACUAGGUGUGGGGUCCAUUCCACGGGUUCCGUGCCGUAGCUAACGCUUUAAGUACCCCGCCUGGGGAGUACGGCCGCAAGGCUAAAACUCAAAGGAAUUGACGGGGCCCCGCACAAGCGGCGGAGCAUGCGGAUUAAUUCGAUGCAACGCGUAGAACCUUACCUGGGUUUGACAUGGAUCGGGAGUGCUCAGAGAUGGGUGUGCCUCUUUUGGGGUCGGUUCACAGGUGGUGCAUGCCUGUCGUCAGCUCGUGUCGUGAGAUGUUGGGUUAAGUCCCGCAACGAGCGCAACCCUUGUUCACUGUUGCCAGCACGUUAUGGUGGGGACUCAGUGGAGACCGCCGGGGUCAACUCGGAGGAAGGUGGGGAUGACGUCAAGUCAUCAUGCCCCUUAUGUCCAGGGCUUCACGCAUGCUACAAUGGCUGGUACAGAGAGUGGCGAGCCUGUGAGGGUGAGCGAAUCUCGGAAAGCCGGUCUCAGUUCGGAUUGGGGUCUGCAACUCGACCUCAUGAAGUCGGAGUCGCUAGUAAUCGCAGAUCAGCAACGCUGCGGUGAAUACGUUCCCGGGGCU